RNAcentral lists this long non-coding RNA (856 nucleotides) under Parus major (Great Tit). RNAcentral describes it as "lncRNA (ENSPMJG00000000945.1)". The record is from RNAcentral. Lineage: Eukaryota; Metazoa; Chordata; Aves; Passeriformes; Paridae.
UUUAAUUUCAUUGAAACAGCAUGGUAAUGACUUCCUGAUUUGGGUUAUUUUUCAUAUUUCAGCCAAGCACCUUUCAUCAGUGAUAUUACCAAUACCAAGCCUGAUAGAGUCCUUUGUGGUCAAGGUGAAAAAUUUUCCCUGACUUCUUUGAAAGCCUAUCUAGGACAUUGAUGAUGACUGACCUUGAAGGUGUUGAAGACCUGUAAAGUAUCCUUGUCUCCGGAAUCAUGGUUUUAUGAGUAAGUAUAACUGCAUUCAGUUUUGAUCUUUCCAAGAACAGAUUGGAUCAGGAAAAUAAACAGAAAAAUAUUUAAGAAACUUUCUUUCCAUGAUAGGAGAAAAGCAGCUGGGGGUGAUCCCAGGCCUGUGUGCAUUGUAGAAGAAUAAAGUGUAUUUAUUGGAUGGAAGGGGAGCUAUACAGUGUAUCUCUCCAAGCCUACACAAACUGGCCAUGAAGAAAAGCCUGGUCUCUUCUGACCUCUUAAAAAAUGGGAAAGGAAAAAAAUGAGAACUGUUCCCUGAAGGAGAUUCUGAGGAAGGCCAUUCUUACGUCACCAAGAGCUUCCUCUUUCUCUUCACCAGCUCAGCACUGCUGGAAGCUUUUUAUAAACCACGAUUCCUACUGCUGUCAGCUUGUUUGGAAACUACAUGUUCUCAACAUUCCAUCAUGGAGAAGGAUCCCCACCCUACUUCAAAAGCCUUUUUGAAGGUCAGAAUGCAUUCUGUGAGUGGCAGCUCAUGUCACAUACCUCUGGAAAUCAGUUCUCUAAUACACAACUGUUUUGUAAUUUCAUCUAUUUUCUGCAUGUAAGUCACCUUAUAAGGCAACUGCGAGGAUCUGGGGCAAAAGUAUCAC